This 59-nucleotide non-coding RNA is filed under the name uncultured Fragilariaceae. Lineage: Eukaryota; Bacillariophyta; Fragilariophyceae; Fragilariales; Fragilariaceae. The record is from RNAcentral.
UUUUUUUUUUUUUUUUUUUUUUUUUUUUUGGCCGAAUCAGUUGAAACAACACAGGGAGA